GCAGCAGCAGCUGCACUGCUGGUGCCUCGAGGAUGCUUGCCAAGAUGGAGAUUUCUGAGGGACAGCUCUUGUGGUGUUUGAAAUAAGGCAAUCAUCUCCCCUCUGAAUCCCCAGCAGGCUGUUGGAGCACAAGAAGAGCAGCUGUUACGUGUCUCACAGACCAUGCUGGAACCAAAUCAGCCGGUUGCAUCAGCUCAGGAAAAGACAGAGACUCCUGAACUAACCACUGAGCCCAGGAGAACUUUUGAGCAGGUGGAACCUGAGGGGAGAGGAAUCGGAAUUUUUAGGAGAAUGUUCCCACCACACUCUCUUAGGUCGCGUGUCCCCAAGUCUGACCAGCAAAAUACCUUGACUUCUCAAAGAGAAGAGUUCUCCAGCAGCUCAGGGGAGCAGCAGUAGCCCUCCUGCUGAUGCACAGCCUGUGGAGCAAGGGGUGUCCCUGCUGCAGUCACAGCUGGCCCGAGACCGACAGCACCACCUGGAGAGCUGUGCAGGGAGCAGGCACGAGACACUCCCGUCGAGUCACAGGGAGCAGAAGGGAUCUCCUUGCUUCCUAAACUUCUCAGAGAGGAGCCAGAAUGCAGCUGGAUGUAGAAUUAGCCUUAGAAUUUGUCAGUAGUUUAUGUUUAAAGGAUAGUUAUAGGUGUAAGUGAACUUUAUACAACAGUGUUCCAUAGGAUGUAGGAUGUAUUUAUAGACAAAUAAAGAGGUUGUUAUGAUCACGA
Non-coding RNA from Cyanistes caeruleus (blue tit), 725 nucleotides. Lineage: Eukaryota; Metazoa; Chordata; Aves; Passeriformes; Paridae. The record is from RefSeq and is a predicted model, not a curated record.